UACGUAGGUGGCAAGCGUUGUCCGGAUUUACUGGGCGUAAAGAGCGUGUAGGCGGCCAGACAGGUCCGUUGUGAAAACUCGAGGCUCAACCUCGAGAUGUCGAUGGAAACCGUCUGGCUAGAGUCCGGAAGAGGAGUGUGGAAUUCCUGGUGUAGCGGUGAAAUGCGCAGAUAUCAGGAAGAACACCUAUGGCGAAGGCAGCACUCUGGGACGGUACUGACGCUGAGACGCAAAAGCGUGGGGAGCGAACAGG
This 253-nucleotide ribosomal RNA is filed under the name uncultured bacterium. RNAcentral describes it as "partial 16S ribosomal RNA". It matches the Rfam family "Bacterial small subunit ribosomal RNA", at positions 524 to 776 of the family's 1533-position model. The record is from RNAcentral.